GGAACGAGUAACUUUGAUAAUUAUUGUUGACGGGUUGCAUGAAGCAGACAGUUCGGAGUUGAAUUGCACAGCAGACUAGUAUAAACGAGUGACUGUUCCAACUGCUUGCUGAGCGCUGGGAAGACCUGGUACAGAGAGAUCCCCUGGCAGCGAGUGGUUCGCACGCUUCAGUCCGCAGCGAGCGGAGGACGACACGACUGCUGGAGCCGGCACCAGCGAGCGCGAACUCCGCCGCAGCGCAGCAGAAACCAAGGCAAGUUACGAUGAGAUUCACGACCACCAGAACCGAGCGGUGGUUUUAAAGACUUACUGAUGUAACUGUCCAACACUGACUCUGAACACGCUCGGUGCUCUGAUAAUAUAUUUAUAUUUUAAUACUUGUUGUUGAUUAUGCAUCUUAUUCGCACUAGUCCUUUGGUGCACACAGUUACCUAGCGAAUUUGAAUUAACAAUUGUCUGCUGAAACUGCAUUGUGAAACGGGCAUUAGUAUUAACAUAGUAUUUAUAUUUUUGUGUAGGUGAGGACUUGCCCUAAUUUUUUUGUCCCUUUUCAAUGAUUUUCUUUUGGAGUACGAUAGGCCAUAUUUAUAUGACGAUCUAAUCGUGUUGUUAAUUGGUUUGCAUGCCUUUGUAUACCGCUUGUGAGGCAAGAUUAGUAAUGUUGGAUUUAUCUGUUCCAGUGCCAUCUCCAAGUGACACCCAGUAUACGUUUCAGAAGCAUUGAAGUAUUGAAUGAAUGAUUGAUGAAUGUCACUUAUUAUUGUGAACCUGUUUAUUAUAAUUUAUUAAUAAAAUUUGUGUUAAAAAUUACGGUGAUGCCUUCUAGGUUAUUUACGGUGUCAUUUGGCACCUCAGUGAUAACAAUGUAAUAAAUAGUAUGAAUAUAAUAUAAUGUAAUAAAAUUAUUUUUUUCCUAUACAUUUAGGUAAUUAAUUUUAGUAAAAAACUUAUGCUAAAUAAAUUACAUUCAAUGAUUUUACCAUUAUAAAACAUUAAAUUGUGGUAAUUUGAGUUCUUUUUUAUCAAAAGGCUGAAUGCUGAUUUCAUGUUUUUGGUUAAAUUUUGGUGCUAAAUCGUGUGUAAUUUGAAGUGACAUACUUUGCGAUGUUAUUUCAAUUUUAUCGCAAUUUACCAUAUAAUCUUGUCCCUAGCUAUUCACACCAAACCCUCACUUAGCAUGACUAAUGCUCCAUAAAUAGCAAGGCUAAUUUAAUUAAUGUGUUCCAAAAUGUGUAGGGAAAUAUUCUUUACUUAAUAUAAAUGUGUAGAAUAACACUGAAAAAUAAAUAUGCCACACCAUUUAUCUUGAUACGCCUACCAUAGGUACUUUGCAUGACAAAUACAACACCGAGUAUAUGUGGUUAUGUGCUUAUCACAUCGGCUGAUUGACUUGUCCACCCAGGCGUGACCUUCAACUCACGUCACAUAUCUUUCCACAAACUUUCCAAACCAUCCUUUACUGCAGUGAAACCGAUAUUACUGUCCAGAUAUAUUAACAUUUUAAUUUUUCAAAAAUUUAACUGCUUGGUUCACACCAAUCCUGACAGGCCUGUGAUUUUUUAAAUUGCACCAUUUAUUUAACAACCUUUUCCUUGUAAAUCAUCUGUUCAAUUCUGUUCCAGUAUCUAAUGCAAAAUAUAUUCCCGCUCGUACAACCAACAGCAUCAGACUUUCAUAAAACUUUUGAUAGAGUCAUUUCGUAAAAUUGUGCGCACAGUUGACUUGCUUAAAACUAAAGUGCGACCAACAUAAGUGUAGUCUUCACGACAUUCAGCACGCCGUAUUACUUCUAGUUUUGCCUCAAAUACUUGAACAAGAUGCAUUACAAUCUCACUUGGAAGCUACGAUUACACUAUGAUUCCAACUGCAGGUGCUCGCGCAUGUGCAGUUACCGGCAGAUAAAUGGGCAGACGUUACUUGUGUUUGCGCGUGCGAGUUCCCUGCCACUGGCUAGACUGAAGUUCAUCACGGCCCGGUCUGUGGCUGGGCGACAACGGUACGACGACCCAGUGUUAUACGUGCAGACAACAUAAACAUUUGGUCCUUUACACCCCAUAGCCACAAAUGAACUUGCCAUAGCUGAUGUUUGUACAACAGCAAUAGCGUAGUCAGACCUGCGUGCGCAUCUCUUUUCCCCCCUCGUAUGCCACGAGACAUCUUUUGUUUACCAAGCUGAAGCAGACUUUUUGGCGUCAUUCCAACUUUUUUUUUGUGUGUGGCAAUUAUUGUGCUAACUGAAUUUUACAGCAGUGUUAUUCAAUACUGGGACAGUAAAAUCAACACUGUGCUAAAUUAAUUUGCGGCACACAUUUAAGAUGUGCUAAGUGAGGGAUUUGGUGUGAUAGUAUAUAUAUCGCACUGUCAAAGUAAUAAUAGAGCCAUAUCUCAAAAAAAAUUGUGAAAUUGAGUUAAGAUCGCCAAUGGAAAAAAACAUCUGUCAAUCUUACCAAUGUAAUGAGGCCGUACCUGAAUUUUGAGAAAACAACGGUGAAAACACGAUGCUGCGACGGACGCAACGUCUGAAAUAUAACCGUGUUAUCGCAAUGACAUAGCCUCCUGUUUAAUUAUGUUAAAAGUUUCUACUCUUGACAUGUGGCCGUGUUACUUCGACAGCGCGAUGUGACUACGUGAUGAGACGCCAAGGAAGGAGAGACCUCACAGCAGCCCCUCGCGGGCCAGCGCGUCGAGCAGCGGCAGGCAGCCGUCCACGCCGACGCCGCGCCGGCGCAGCUCGCCCAGCCGCGCCUCCAGCGGCCGCUUGUCCUUGCCCAGCCGCCACCACAGGCGCGCGCACAGCUGCAGCAGCGGCACGUAGAAGCGCAGCAGGUCCACGUCGCUGACGGCGUCGUAGCGGCGCAGCGCCAGCUCCGCGAAGCCCUCGGCCCGCGCCGCCAGCGGGUCCUCGCUGCAGCAGGCCACCAGGCGGCACAGCGCCACCAUCACCUCCGGGUGCCUGCGACACAACACUCUCUCUCACCUCGCCUGCAGCCUUCCCGCAGGUACCUUCUCAGCUUGUUGAGCAGGCGGAAGGUGUUCUCGAGCAGCGGCACGGCCUGGUCAUAGCGCCGCGCCUCCAGCCAGGCGCGCGCCUCCUCCAGCUCGCGGCGCUGCAGGAAGCGGCUCAGGCCGCGCGAGUUGCGCAGCCGGUCCUGGGCGGCCGCACGGCACAGCAGUCCCUCGAAGCCCGCGCUGCGCUCCGAGAUCAGCCCCGGCUCGAAGUUGCCCAGCAGCACCUUCUUGGGGAAGGCCACGCCCGCCAUCAGCCCCGCGUGGUCGCGCCUCAGCGACUCGUACAGCUCCAGGAAGUCCGAGUAGCGGCGCUCGAUCACGGCCGGGUGCGGGUCCGGCGUCGCCCCGUCCUUCCUCAGCAUCACCGUGUACGCCUGCGCAACACGCUCUCGCCCUGAGUUCACCCUGCGUCCGUGCU
Bacillus rossius redtenbacheri is the source of this 3427-nucleotide long non-coding RNA. RefSeq lists it as uncharacterized. Lineage: Eukaryota; Metazoa; Arthropoda; Insecta; Phasmatodea; Bacillidae. The record is from RefSeq and is a predicted model, not a curated record. The transcript is spliced from 3 exons.